RNAcentral lists this ribosomal RNA (381 nucleotides) under uncultured bacterium. RNAcentral describes it as "bacterial SSU rRNA". It matches the Rfam family "Bacterial small subunit ribosomal RNA", at positions 30 to 409 of the family's 1533-position model. The record is from RNAcentral.
AUUGAACGCUGGCGGCAUGCCUUACACAUGCAAGUCGAACGGCAGCACGGGGGCGAACCCUCGGUGGCGAGUGGCGAACGGGUGAGUAAUAUAUCGGAACGUGCCCUAGAGUGGGGGAGUAACGUAGCGAAAGUUACGCUAAUACCGCAUACGAUCUACGGAUGAAAGUGGGGGAUCGCAAGACCUCAUGCUCGUGGAGCGGCCGAUAUCUGAUUAGCUAGNGGUUAGGGUAAAGCCUACCAAGGCAUCGAUCAGUAGCUGGUCUGAGAGGACGACCAGCCACACUGGGACUGAGACACGGCCCAGACUCCUACGGGAGGCAGCAGUGGGGAAUUUUGGACAAUGGGGGCAACCCUGAUCCAGCAAUGCCGCGUGAGUGAA